Long non-coding RNA from Leopardus geoffroyi (Geoffroy's cat), 2164 nucleotides. RefSeq lists it as uncharacterized. NCBI's taxonomy places the organism in Eukaryota, Metazoa, Chordata, Mammalia, Carnivora, Felidae. The record is from RefSeq and is a predicted model, not a curated record. The transcript is spliced from 2 exons.
GAAAAGUCCGAGAGGACUCCCAGGUUUCCAGCCUGGAAGCACACAGCUCCAGAGCUCAGACAGCAGAACCAUGGGAGGCCCUGCUGCACAGUGCGCAUGUAAAAAACAUGAAAAGAAGAUGCGUCAUUGGGCUCUUCUCACUUCAGAGGGCCCCACAACAUCUGCAACCCUCCAGCUCCACCCUACACCUUUGGUUCUGAAGAUGCUGCUAAACAUAACUCUGUUUUCGGGAACCCAAGAGGCAUCUGGACUGUCACCCUACCAACUUGCUCACACCUUCUGAAACCAACCCAGAAGACAGGAAUUCACACUUGGUCUGCCCAGCUUCCCUAGAGCAGACACCUGCAGGUCAGAGAACAUCUUGGUUUUGCCAAUUCGGGGAUUGUAAAACAGUGGUCCUGAGGGAGCUUCCCGGACAGGAGAAAAGGCUGCCUGGGCCCCAGCUCAGCUCCCCCAGCGACUUGCUGGAUGAUCUUCAGGCAAGUACCACCCACUCUCAGGAUACCUCUUUCCCAUUUGCAGACUGAGGGGCUGGAACACAAGCUGCGCCAAAAGAACUCUUCCCCGACCCCGCCACCACCAUCACCUAUGACAAAAUCUGCUUUUGCUCCAGGGUUUCCUCAGCAACUGACACCACUGUCCACCCAAUUCUGGGAGCUGAUAACCUAGGUGGUCCAUCUUCUAUUCCCCCCCAGCACACUCACCCACUCACACACAGGAGGUGUCAACAGUGUGUGACAAUCCACGGGAGCCAACUCAAGUGCCAGACCAGAGUCUUCUGAGGUGUUUAAUGCCAACUUUUCCUAUGGUAUGUGUCAAAGCCACCUCCAGUUUUAGUCAGUACCUUCUGGGCACCUACUGUGUGCCAGAAUGUGUGCCAGGUUGAGGGGCAGGGGGAGGUGACAGCAAUAGGCAAGAUGGCUCCUGACUUGAAGGAGCUCCCUGCUGAGGGUAUGAGAACCUAAGUGAAAACUACCCUGGUUCACAGCUGUCUCAGGGACUUGCUCCUCCAGUGGCUUCACGCAGAGCUUUACUGCUGAACAGCCUCUUCUCACUCUCCUGCUCCUGUCACUGCGGACAACCCGCAUCAUGUCUGAAGUGCAUCCAGAGCACCCUGGUCCCCGAUCCUGCUACCCUGGGAUAUCCUUUCCCCAUUUGCUUUCUCUGAAGGCUCUACAGCUCUGAGAGCCCUGUGGCUCAUGCCUGAGAUUGGUCAGCCCUCAGCCCUCAGCAGCGGCUGCAGACCUGGAGCCAAAUGCCUCCUGGGUCCAGUGGCAGUCAGGAGGCCUCCCUGAGUGCCCCGCACACCCCCUUACCAUGCUGCAGGGGCGGUCCUCCAUGGCAUACCGGGCCCUGUCCCAGUGAGAAAAUGCAGACAGCUCUGACUCCAGGAAGGCAGUGACUGGCUCUGCCUCGAACUACAAUAAACUGCUAUCAGACCUCAGAGUCACUGCCGGGGGCCUCAGAGAGGGGUGAGGGGAGGAAGCAGAGGGCUGAGGGCUUCAUGACAGUCCGCAGGCUGAGCCAAGGCUCCCUUGCUGUGCGGCGCAUGGCGUGUGCUACCACAGGCCCUAGGCCCUGCUGGGCUGGCUUGUGUGUUUUCUUGGCUCUGGGAGCUGGAAGCAGGGUUACGUAAGCAGCUGAGCAGAUGUGAGCCUGUCCUUGGCUCCCCCGGCUAAAGCCCCGCCACGUGGGCCUCUCGGCUGGGAGUCCAGGUCACGGCCUUGCGUGUAAGGCGCUCAAUAACUUCAAUGUGUGAGCUCAACUCAGACAAAUUCCACCGCUCCCUUGCCCGGCAUGGCAAACCCAAACACACACAUGCCCCUCCACUGAAGCCCUGCUAAUCUCGAGCCAACCCAGCACGGACUCCCUGCCUCACUCUCAUGCUGGCUGAGCCACUAGUUCAUUCUUCUUGCCUCAGCAAAAACAGGCUGGAACAUCUAGUCACCCCUUCCCAACCGGCUGGCCAGUGGCUCAAGACACAAUCCUUGGCCCGAUGCCGGGUGGUGAGAAUGUUUCACUAGCCAGUGACAAAAUGGUAAAAGUGAACACAAUGUACGUUGUUCUUCAUCAAGCUAAAUGUACCCAAUGUACUGGAUGUGUCCCUUUCUCAAUAAGCAAGUGUCUUCCAAAAUAAAGAUUUCAGGGACUCCUGGGUGGCUCA